ACGAUGUUCACUUGGUGUCGGUCGCACAUACAGAUCGGUGCCGGAGCUAACGCGUUAAGUGAACCGCCUGGGGAGUACGGUCGCAAGGCUAAAACUCAAGAGAAUUGACGGGUCCCCGCACAAGCGGUGGAGCACGUGGUUUAAUUCGAUGAUAAGCGAAGAACCUCACCUGGGCUUGACAUGCUAGUGGUAGGAGCCAGAAACGGUGACGACCUUGCCUUCGGGUAGGGAGCUAGUACAGGUGAUGCAUGGCUGUCGUCAGCUCGUGUCGUGGGACGUAGGGUUAAGUCCCGAAACGAGCGCAACCCCUGUCGUCAGUUGCCAGCGGAUAAUGCCGGGGACUCUGACGAGACUGCUGGUGAAUAGCCGGAGGAAGGAGGGGAUGACGUCAAGUCAUCAUGUCCCUUGUGCCCAGGGCGACACACAUGCUACAAUGGAAGGUACAGAGAGUUGCAAUACCGUAAGGUGGAGCUAAUCCCAAAAAGCCUUCCCUAGUUCGGAUUGAGGUCUGCAACUCGACCUCAUGAAGCCGGAAUCGCUAGUAAUCGCGGGUCAGCCAUACCGCGGUGAAUAUGUACUCGGGGAUUGUACACACCGCCCGUCACACCAACCGAGUGGGGGGUACCUGAAGUCGUUCUAUCAAAGGGCGCCGAAGGUAACUUCCGCAAGAGGGGUGAAGUCGUAACAAGGUA
RNAcentral lists this ribosomal RNA (692 nucleotides) under uncultured bacterium. RNAcentral describes it as "bacterial SSU rRNA". It matches the Rfam family "Bacterial small subunit ribosomal RNA", at positions 806 to 1498 of the family's 1533-position model. The record is from RNAcentral.